GACGAACGUUGGCGGCGUGCUUACACAUGCAAGUCGAACGGAAAGGCCCUGCUUUUGUGGGGUGCUCGAGUGGCGAACGGGUGAGUAACACGUGAGUAACCUGCCCUUGACUUUGGGAUAACUUCAGGAAACUGGGGCUAAUACCGGAUAGGAGCUCCUGCUGCAUGGUGGGGGUUGGAAAGUUUCGGCGGUUGGGGAUGGACUCGCGGCUUAUCAGCUUGUUGGUGGGGUAGUGGCUUACCAAGGCUUUGACGGGUAGCCGGCCUGAGAGGGUGACCGGCCACAUUGGGACUGAGAUACGGCCCAGACUCCUACGGGAGGCAGCAGUGGGGAAUAUUGCACAAUGGGCGGAAGCCUGAUGCAGCAACGCCGCGUGCGGGAUGACGGCCUUCGGGUUGUAAACCGCUUUCGCCUGUGACGAAGCGUGAGUGACGGUAAUGGGUAAAGAAGCACCGGCUAACUACGUGCCAGCAGCCGCGGUGAUACGUAGGGUGCGAGCGUUGUCCGGAUUUAUUGGGCGUAAAGGGCUCGUAGGUGGUUGAUCGCGUCGGAAGUGUAAUCUUGGGGCUUAACCCUGAGCGUGCUUUCGAUACGGGUUGACUUGAGGAAGGUAGGGGAGAAUGGAAUUCCUGGUGGAGCGGUGGAAUGCGCAGAUAUCAGGAGGAACACCAGUGGCGAAGGCGGUUCUCUGGGCCUUUCCUGACGCUGAGGAGCGAAAGCGUGGGGAGCGAACAGGCUUAGAUACCCUGGUAGUCCACGCUGUAAACGGUGGGUACUAGGUGUGGGGUCCAUUCCACGGGUUCCGUGCCGUAGCUAACGCUUUAAGUACCCCGCCUGGGGAGUACGGCCGCAAGGCUAAAACUCAAAGGAAUUGACGGGGCCCCGCACAAGCGGCGGAACAUGCGGAUUAAUUCGAUGCAACGCGUAGAACCUUACCUGGGUUUGACAUGGAUCGGGAGUGCUCAGAGAUGGGUGUGCCUCUUUUGGGGUCGGUUCACAGGUGGUGCAUGGCUGUCGUCAGCUCGUGUCGUGAGAUGUUGGGUUAAGUCCCGCAACGAGCGCAACCCUUGUUCACUGUUGCCAGCACGUUAUGGUGGGGACUCAGUGGAGACCGCCGGGGUCAACUCGGAGGAAGGUGGGGAUGACGUCAAGUCAUCAUGCCCCUUAUGUCCAGGGCUUCACGCAUGCUACAAUGGCUGGUACAGAGAGUGGCGAGCCUGUGAGGGUGAGCGAAUCUCGGAAAGCCGGUCUCAGUUCGGAUUGGGGUCUGCAACUCGACCUCAUGAAGUCGGAGUCGCUAGUAAUCGCAGAUCAGCAACGCUGCGGUGAAUACGUUCCCGGGGCA
RNAcentral lists this ribosomal RNA (1345 nucleotides) under uncultured bacterium. RNAcentral's name for it is "bacterial SSU rRNA". It matches the Rfam family "Bacterial small subunit ribosomal RNA", at positions 28 to 1381 of the family's 1533-position model. The record is from RNAcentral.